Molecule: unclassified non-coding RNA, 408 nt
Filed under: Athalia rosae (coleseed sawfly)
Lineage: Eukaryota; Metazoa; Arthropoda; Insecta; Hymenoptera; Athaliidae
Description: misc RNA ENSAEAG00005008648.1
Source: RNAcentral
AAAUAAAUACCUGAAGAGUUGAUCACUGCUAUUCGUUUCAAUCUUCCAGGUCGAACAGUAUUCGUCCCAGGGGAGACUGCAAAGUUGAAACGACAGAGUCCUUGCGGUAUACGUCAGAUGUUAUUAUUACACCUCUGCGUACUUUAACAGACAGUCAGUGCAGAUGUUUGCCGGGCCAGGUCCAGCUGCCCAACCCAAGCAUAUUGUUGCUCUACUUUUGGAAACGACAUAGAGAGUUUGAGGGGAAGAAAUCAUACUUCCUAGUACAUGUACCUACUCAAGAACUGCAGUCAUUCCAUGGACUGAGAUGCGAAUCAGUUGGAGGCUUGUGGGCCUAUACAAAGAGAAUUAUAAGCACGGGAUCCGUAAUGCGUGCAUCAACUUGCAUAGAUCUUAGACCUUUCAAGC